This 275-nucleotide ribosomal RNA is filed under the name uncultured bacterium. Its description in RNAcentral is "partial 16S ribosomal RNA". It matches the Rfam family "Bacterial small subunit ribosomal RNA", at positions 1226 to 1500 of the family's 1533-position model. The record is from RNAcentral.
UACAAUGGCGUAAACAAAGGGAAGCGAGACGGCGACGUUAAGCAAAUCCCAGAAAUAACGUCCCAGUUCGGAUUGUAGUCUGCAACCCGACUACAUGAAGCUGGAAUCGCUAGUAAUCGCGGAUCAGAAUGCCGCGGUGAAUACGUUCCCGGGUCUUGUACACACCGCCCGUCACACCAUGGGAGUCGGAAAUGCCCGAAGUCAGUGACCUAACCGAAAGGAAGGAGCUGCCGAAGGUGGAGCCGGUAACUGGGGUGAAGUCGUAACAAGGUACC